CGUUAGAGGAGGAGGAGAUGGAGGAAGAUUUAGAGAUGCAGGAGGACGAGGAAGAGGGUGAGAUUGAUUUCGAGUUGGAAGGCGUGGAGGAGAAGGAGCACCUGUCUGGAGAGGGCGAGGAAGAGGAGGACAAGAAUGAGCAGGAGGGUGCAGCAGUGGUUACAGGCCUUGGGUUCUGCAUGGAGACAUUUGGGCCCCUGUUCCGGAGUCACGUUGACUCCUUUCUACGCAAUUUCUGUAACAACAAAGAUGUCUUCUUCCCGCCUUCCACUGACCGCCUGAUGGCCAGGGGCCGCUCCCAGCCACCCUCGGACCCUGGAGAAGGUCCGGUGCCUCCUCAGGAGCAGGAAGACCUAGGAGACGGAGGCAGAGUCUUGCAGGGCCUAGACUCUGCUGCUGAUUUGAAGUUGAGGUAUUUUCCCUGCCAACUUUUGACCCCAAUGUCUGCAUCAUUCUGCCCCAAUGAUGAGGGUGAGGAUCAGUAUGAAAAUGCUGAUGAAGAGGAAGAGGAUAGAAAUGAAAAACCUGAAGGACUCUGAAUGGAUAUGGUCUCAGCAAAGAGCAGCUCUGGAUAAUACAGUGGGAAGGCAUAGAAAGAAGCAGCCAGCAAAAGAAAAGAUGAAUUUGUUCUUCAUGGAUAUUCUUGUUUUCAUUAGCCUGAAAUGCUAAUUUUGUUUCAAAGUUUCAACGCCCCAAAAUGAUAUUAACUACUGACAUCUGACUUUACUCUUACCUUUUACAGAUAAUUUGAUAGUAUUGUUCACAUUGGAAAUAAAAGCUUGUUUGAAAUUAAUUCUCCCUUAGCC
RNAcentral lists this long non-coding RNA (806 nucleotides) under Bos indicus x Bos taurus (hybrid cattle). RNAcentral's name for it is "lncRNA (ENSBIXG00005016969.1)". Lineage: Eukaryota; Metazoa; Chordata; Mammalia; Artiodactyla; Bovidae. The record is from RNAcentral.